Molecule: long non-coding RNA, 420 nt
Filed under: Homo sapiens (human)
Lineage: Eukaryota; Metazoa; Chordata; Mammalia; Primates; Hominidae
Description: non-protein coding MAGEA4-AS1:5
Source: RNAcentral
AGUUGAUUUGGGAACCAGAGAACAGCAGCCUAAGUGUGACUGUAAUUUUUGGCAGCUACAGAUUCCCAAGACAACUAGGAAGGGAAAAGGAACCCUUCAAGGAAGUUCCAGGAAAAACGUCUCUCCCAAAAAGACCACCGCUUCAGGAAAACCUGAGGAAGGGAGUGGGCCAACAGUAUCCUGCCACUGUGACCAGCUGAACGAGGAACUCCAUCAAAAUGAGCCACAGCUGGACCAAAACAGUGAGGAGACCUCCACCUUCUUCAGUGUCUCCCUGAGCAGUCAGUAAUUUCAGGGCAAGCUGAGAGGUCUCCAGAGGUCUAACCCCAGAUAAAUAGCCAACAGGGUCUAGAGUACAUUUUAUACCCAACAGGGUAUACCCCAUGGUGAUCAAAAUAAAAUAAACCUGUUGUAAAAUGA